Long non-coding RNA from Ixodes scapularis (black-legged tick), 282 nucleotides. RefSeq lists it as uncharacterized. NCBI's taxonomy places the organism in Eukaryota, Metazoa, Arthropoda, Arachnida, Ixodida, Ixodidae. The record is from RefSeq and is a predicted model, not a curated record. The transcript has 3 exons.
CACAGCAGCAAGCGUUCCAGAAACUGAAAGGGCUGCUCAGCUCAAACGCCUGCAUGGCCCGGUACGACCCUACCUACCCCACGACUGUGUCCGCCGACGCCAGCUCCUACGGCCUCGGAGCAGUUCUCCUGCAGCAGCAACCUUCCGGAGAGCAUCGUGCAGUGGCAUUUGCAAGUCGUUCACUAACUCCGACGGAGUCCAGAUACAGCCAGACCGAAAAGGAGGCACUCGCCGUGGCAUGGGCAAUUGAACGAUUCGAACAGUUCGUGCGGGGUAUCCAGU